RNAcentral lists this transfer RNA (84 nucleotides) under Auricularia subglabra TFB-10046 SS5. It matches the Rfam family "tRNA". Rfam says of the family: Transfer RNA (tRNA) molecules are approximately 80 nucleotides in length. Their secondary structure includes four short double-helical elements and three loops (D, anti-codon, and T loops). The record is from Rfam by way of RNAcentral. Lineage: Eukaryota; Fungi; Basidiomycota; Agaricomycetes; Auriculariales; Auriculariaceae.
GGGCAUGUAGCGCAGUUGGUAGCGCGCCUGUUUAGCAUCUCAUGAGCAUACAGGAGGUCUGCGGUUCAAAUCCGCACUUGUCCA